CUGAUUUUGUACGUAACAUGGGGUGUACGUGACCUAUAAACACUCACCUGUGAAAUCUUUUGUACAUCAUAUACACGUUAUUCUUGUACAAAAGAUCGGUUGAUUUGUACGUACAACCGGUUUUGACUUUUUUACAUAGUACCGGUUGACUUUGUAGAUAAGAUCGGUUGACUUGUGUAAUUGAUAGACAUUACGGGGUCUAAAGAAAACGAUUAACUAACACGGUUAUACGAAUUUAUAUAUCUACUUAUUCCAUUUCAGCUAUAAACAUCUGAUACUAUAUUUUAUCCUUUUCCUUUUACUCUCUCUCUCUCUCUCUCUCUCUCUCUCUCUCUGAUACCCUUUAUUUACCUUCUCCGCACAACCGUAAACUUGGAACCUGGAGAGUCAUCAUCCGACUUAUGGUCAACCGGAUACACCACGAAAACUGAUUUAUCGUCUAAAAUCGAGAAAUUCGAAAGGUUUUGCUCUCCUUUCUUUUAGGAUAUACCCGAGUUCCGGGUCAGUCUGAACCGCAUCGGUAACCAGCGAGGAACGCGGCGACAUGCGACGCGGGUUUAGGACAAAGAGAGGACAAUGGGGAGUGGUUUCGGAAGGAGACCAGAAGGGUUGUCUCCAACGACGGCAGCGACGACGACCACCACCAACGGCGGCGGCACUCGGCGCUCCAACGACGAGAGGGGCUGCGUAGAGGAGAGGCACCAGCAACGGCUCGUCCCCACCGACGACCCGCAGCACAGCGAUCGUCACAACCAUGAAGACCAAGUCCUAGGAAAUUGGGUGUUCAACACGGGGCGCCAACUCCAUUUAGGACUCCUGCUGUACGUACCCUCAGAACCCUCAUCGUAGAAGUGGCAAAAGUGAAGUGCCUUGAGUGUGGAUAACAGGAAAUCCUGGCACAAAACUCUUGGAUCAUAUCAACAUGAAAUGAUGGACACCACCAAGUAGAACUUAACCUCUCUAUGGGAGAACCAGACAUACCGAAUCGAUUAAAGGGGAAUUCUGAUUGCGAUAGCGGAUUUCAAUGGCUCCUACAAGAGCCAAUACCAUAACAUCGGAACACGAAAUGUGGCCACGAUCAAGAAACGC
Molecule: ribosomal RNA, 1089 nt
Filed under: Triticum aestivum (bread wheat)
Lineage: Eukaryota; Viridiplantae; Streptophyta; Magnoliopsida; Poales; Poaceae
Description: partial small subunit ribosomal RNA
Source: RNAcentral